RNAcentral lists this ribosomal RNA (292 nucleotides) under uncultured Flavobacteriaceae bacterium. RNAcentral's name for it is "partial 16S ribosomal RNA". It matches the Rfam family "Bacterial small subunit ribosomal RNA", at positions 1 to 300 of the family's 1533-position model. The record is from RNAcentral. Lineage: Bacteria; Pseudomonadati; Bacteroidota; Flavobacteriia; Flavobacteriales; Flavobacteriaceae.
UGACGAGUUUGAUCCUGGCUCAGGAUGAACGCUAGCGGCAGGCUUAACACAUGCAAGUCGAGGGGUAUAGUUCUUCGGAGCUAGAGACCGGCGCACGGGUGCGUAACGCGUAUGCAAUCUACCUUUUACAGGGGAAUAGCCCAGAGAAAUUUGGAUUAAUGCCCCAUAGUAUAUAUCAUUCGCAUGUUUGAUAUAUUAAAGUUCCAACGGUAAAAGAUGAGCAUGCGUCCCAUUAGCUAGAUGGUAAGGUAACGGCUUACCAUGGCUACGAUGGGUAGGGGUCCUGAGAGGG